This 324-nucleotide long non-coding RNA is filed under the name Dromaius novaehollandiae (emu). Its description in RNAcentral is "lncRNA (ENSDNVG00000001075.1)". Lineage: Eukaryota; Metazoa; Chordata; Aves; Casuariiformes; Dromaiidae. The record is from RNAcentral.
AAUGAAAGGACAAGCGUGCAGACUCCUAGGGGCUACUGCAGCACCGUAUCCCAGCCAAGACAGCAUCCUGGUCAUAAUUUGAAGGCAAAUGUUAGACCUUUGCUCAAGGCAGAAUGAUCAUGGUGAGUUUGGACUGCUGAAGCACAUUUCUGAUACUCUACUUCUCCCGGAGUAAUGCAGAAUGGAGAAAUUUCCUUUGUCAGUGACAGCCUUUGCUCUGCGUCCCAAAACAAGGAAUACUGCACCUUUUGAGGAAGACUUGCAGUGGUGUAAUUAGAAGACAUUCAUAGCCGGGACUGUGACUGCAGAAGCUACCGUACAUUG